This 377-nucleotide ribosomal RNA is filed under the name uncultured Planctomycetota bacterium. Its description in RNAcentral is "bacterial SSU rRNA". It matches the Rfam family "Bacterial small subunit ribosomal RNA", at positions 521 to 896 of the family's 1533-position model. The record is from RNAcentral. Lineage: Bacteria; Pseudomonadati; Planctomycetota.
UAAGACGAACCGUCCAAACGUUAUUCGGAAUCACUGGGCUUAAAGGGUGCGUAGGCGGCUUGGCAAGUUGGGUGUGAAAUCCCUCGGCUCAACCGAGGAACUGCGCUCAAAACUGCCAAGCUAGAGGAAGAUAGAGGUGAGCGGAACUAAUGGUGGAGCGGUGAAAUGCGUUGAUAUCAUUAGGAACGCCCGUGGCGAAAGCGGCUCACUGGGUCUUUUCUGACGCUGAGGCACGAAAGCUAGGGUAGCGAACGGGAUUAGAUACCCCGGUAGUCCUAGCUGUAAACGAUGAGCACUAGGUUGGAGGCUCCUCCAUAGGUUUCCGACCGAAGCGAAAGUGUUAAGUGCUCCGCCUGGGGAGUAUGGUCGCAAGGCUG